RNAcentral lists this transfer RNA (70 nucleotides) under Rhineura floridana. RNAcentral's name for it is "tRNA-Ser". It matches the Rfam family "tRNA". From Rfam's summary of the family: Transfer RNA (tRNA) molecules are approximately 80 nucleotides in length. Their secondary structure includes four short double-helical elements and three loops (D, anti-codon, and T loops). The record is from RNAcentral. Lineage: Eukaryota; Metazoa; Chordata; Lepidosauria; Squamata; Rhineuridae.
AAGAAAUAAGCAUUAUGGUAUGUAGCUGGCUUGAAACCAGUUGAAGGGGGUUCGAGUCCUCCCUUUCUUG